GGGGGUUUAGUAUAAUGGCAUUAUAGCAGUCUCCAAAACUGAUGAUAAGGGUUCGAUUCCUUUAACCCCCG
This 71-nucleotide transfer RNA is filed under the name Mycoplasmopsis citelli. Its description in RNAcentral is "Mycoplasma citelli tRNA". It matches the Rfam family "tRNA". Rfam says of the family: Transfer RNA (tRNA) molecules are approximately 80 nucleotides in length. Their secondary structure includes four short double-helical elements and three loops (D, anti-codon, and T loops). Further hydrogen bonds mediate the characteristic L-shaped molecular structure. tRNAs have two regions of fundamental functional importance: the anti-codon, which is responsible for specific mRNA codon recognition, and the 3' end, to which the tRNAs corresponding amino acid is attached (by aminoacyl-tRNA synthetases). tRNAs cope with the degeneracy of the genetic code in two manners: having more than one tRNA (with a specific anti-codon) for a particular amino acid; and 'wobble' base-pairing, i.e. permitting non-standard base-pairing at the 3rd anti-codon position. The record is from Rfam by way of RNAcentral. Lineage: Bacteria; Bacillati; Mycoplasmatota; Mycoplasmoidales; Metamycoplasmataceae. RNAcentral also lists the same sequence under 2 other names.